RNAcentral lists this ribosomal RNA (424 nucleotides) under uncultured prokaryote. RNAcentral describes it as "bacterial SSU rRNA". It matches the Rfam family "Bacterial small subunit ribosomal RNA", at positions 355 to 796 of the family's 1533-position model. The record is from RNAcentral.
UGGGGAAUAUUGGACAAUGGGCGCAAGCCUGAUCCAGCCAUGCCGCGUGAGUGAUGAAGGCCUUAGGGUUGUAAAGCUCUUUCAGCAGGGAAGAUAAUGACGGUACCUGCAGAAGAAGCCCCGGCUAACUCCGUGCCAGCAGCCGCGGUAAUACGGAGGGGGCUAGCGUUGUUCGGAUUUACUGGGCGUAAAGCGCGCGUAGGCGGCUUGCCAAGUUGGGGGUGAAAGCCCAGGGCUCAACCCUGGAAUUGCCCUCAAAACUGGCUCGCUAGAGACCGGGAGAGGUGAGUGGAAUUCCCAGUGUAGAGGUGAAAUUCGUAGAUAUUGGGAAGAACACCAGUGGCGAAGGCGGCUCACUGGACCGGUACUGACGCUGAGGCGCGAAAGCGUGGGGAGCAAACAGGAUUAGAUACCCCCGUAGUCC